Molecule: small nucleolar RNA, 130 nt
Filed under: Eurypyga helias (sunbittern)
Lineage: Eukaryota; Metazoa; Chordata; Aves; Eurypygiformes; Eurypygidae
Source: RNAcentral
CUGCACUGGGCAGUGACCAGCUGGUCUGCUCCUGACCUCCCUGGUCUCGCCGCAGUGCGAGAUGAAGCCCUUCUAGCAGAAGGGGCAGGCUCUCCUCGUGGGCUGUCCCUUUCGAAAGCUGGGUACAAAC